CAACAUUCUUCGGAACACAGGCAUCUAAGCUUUUGAUUCCAUUAUUAUGUCUAAACUUUGAAGUUUUUGAACUUGUUUAUUAUUAAUCUUUUUUCAGACAAUGUAAAAUGAAGCUUAGACAACAUUAGUGUUGUUAACAUACAAUGACGUGUGAACUCAAGCAUGCAUCUAAUUCUUGCUUCGGGCAUUAAACAAUUUGAGCAUGGCAUCAUCAAAUAUUGUUCCUGAAUUUCUAGGAGACUCCAAUUAUGCAAAUUGGAGUACUUGCAUGAAGAACUAUUUGUUGGCCAACGACCUUUGGGAUAUUGUUGAAGCAACCACUAAACGUCCUAGUGAGAAGGAGGAUAGAGGUGAAUUUAAUGGUUGGAGAAAGAAGAAUGCAGCUGCUUUACAUGCAAUUCAAAUUUCAUGCCUACCAGACAAACUUUCCCAAAUAAGAUACAUUGAUUCUGCUAGAGUUUGCUGGAAAACUUUAGCCAAAAUGAAUAAGAGAAAGUCAUCAAAAGACCAAACACAGGAACAAGAAACUGAAUUGGCGUCAUCGGAAGUGGAAUCACAGACAGAAUCGGUAGAUGAAGGAACAGAGAAGGACGAGUACCUUCAGUUUCAGCCAUUACGAGAGGCUAUAGAUAAAGGUGAUUUUAAUGCUGUGAAAACCUUCGUUAAUCUUUGCCCAGAUGCAGUGCACAGAAAGGUUACAGGUUUUGGUGAAACAGCGCUUCAUCUUGCAACAAUGACUGGAAACUUAAAUAUUGUGGAGUUUUUGGUGGAGUUAAUGUCAGUAGAAGACGUACUUGCGGUUGACAAGCGGAAUGAGACUGCUCUUAUUGGCGCUGCUGCUACUGGAGCAACAAAAAUUGCUGAAUGCAUGCUGAGAAAGACCAUGGAUUUAGUUACUAUUGCAGACGAUGAUCUCCCAGUAACAGUGGCAUGUAAUAAUGGCCAUAAGGAAACAACUCAGUAUUUAUAUUCUGUCACUCCUUUUGAUAUACUGCUUCCGGAAAAUGGAACCUUCGGCUCUUCUCUUCUUGUAGUCUCAUUUUUCAGAGAAAUGUUUGAUAUAUCCUUGGAUUUGCUGCAGCGUGGCCCAAGCUUAGCCACGACACGAACACAACUUGGAAACACACCGCUAGACCAAUUUUCUGGUCUGAGUCAUUUGUUCCCGAGCGGCAACCGAUAUGUCUUUUGGAAACGAUGGAUAUAUUCCUGUAUUCCUGUGGAAUUACCUGCUGGCCCUACCCCGGGUGAUGUUCCAAUUGCCAUUCCAGAGAAUGAUGAUCAUGUCAGACAAGGGAUGAUUGAAAUGCCAAGUCUCAGUUUGAAGUUACUAGAAUCUUUUGGUCUGACGCAGAUUUAUGAUAGAAAAUUGAACCAUGCCUAUGCUCGUGAACUUCUGCACUUGAUGGCCAAACACAUAUCAUCUUCAAUUGACGACACUAAAUUUGAAGAAAAUGGAAUAUAUGCUGCAUUCUUUGGAGCGAUUAAAUAUGGAGUAGUUGAAGUUGUAAUUGAGUUGCUUAAAGCCAAUUCCAAUCUGCUAACUGUUGUCGACAAAAAAUCAAGAAACUUACUUAUGAAUGCAGUUCAUUAUCGGCGAGAAAAUGUUUUUAGCAUUAUAUAUGCGCUUGGUACGAGGAAGUACAUUUUAGUAAUUGAUUAAGGGUAAUUGAAAACAAAUUACAUUCUGCUGCAAAGUUAUCACGUCCUGAUAGACUUGCUGGCAUCUGUCAGGUGCAGCGUUUUGCAGAAUGCCAAAAGAGACAAAGAGAGCUACAAUGGUAUAAGGAAGUAGAAAGUAUUGUGGAUCCUUUAUCUAAAGAAUACACCAACAUAGAUGGUGACAAUGCUAAUAAGAUAUUUUUUAAAACCCAUCAACAAUUGGUGAUAGAUGGAGAGAAAUGGAUGAAGGAAACUGCAACAUCUUGCACAGUCGUAGGUGCUCUCAUUAUUACUAUAAUGUUCAGUGCAGCAUUCGCAGUUACUGUUGGAAGCAAUGAUCAAGAAACUGGUGUUCCAAUAUUUUCACAACGAAUAGAAUUUACAAUAUUUAUAAUAUCCGAUAUAAUUUCUCUUUUUGCCUCCUCAACAUCAGUAUUGAUGUUCUUAGGAGUCCUUACAUCGCGCUAUUCAGAAGUUGAUUUUCUCAAAUCUUUGCCUACAAAGUUGAUUAUUGGUCUUUCUGCUCUCUUCCUUUCAAUUGCAACUAUGAUGGCAGCCUUUUGCUCGAUUCUUAUGAUAGUGCUAAAAGGAGAAUUGAAUCUUGUCCUUCCAAUCACUCUUUUGGCUAGUAUACCUGUUAUCCUUUUUAUAUUCUUACAAUUUCCCCUUCUUGUUGAGAUUUUCGUUUCUACAUAUGGACUAGGCGUCUUUAAUAGAAAAAUGAAGUAUUGGUAUUGAUCUUUCUGCAUUGAGGAACAAGAAUUUACAUUUCCUAUUGACUUCAAUGAUGCACAAGUGUUGAAGUAUGGUCUUAAGUACAUUUGAGGUAUUUUUCUUCAGUAUUUUCGGACAUGGUUGAAGUGCUUGUCUUUAUCAUGUAUCAUUUUUCCAAUGUAUUAGUGAAAUUGGGUUUUCUCAAUUCUCUCUUUUUUGUGUGUAUAAUUUCAAAAAUAUGGGUGUGAGAUUUAAGUUUCAGUAUAAAUAAGAUUCUUGCUAACUUGUUUA
This is an RNA transcript of Jatropha curcas, 2664 nucleotides long. RefSeq lists it as uncharacterized. The record is from RefSeq and is a predicted model, not a curated record. Lineage: Eukaryota; Viridiplantae; Streptophyta; Magnoliopsida; Malpighiales; Euphorbiaceae.